GCGGGAUUGCCCUAGCCUGGUAGGGGGCAGGCCUGCUAAGUCUGUGGUCAGUAAUGGCCGCGUGGGUUCAAAUCCCACAUCCCGCGCCA
This 89-nucleotide transfer RNA is filed under the name Candidatus Bathyarchaeota archaeon. RNAcentral's name for it is "tRNA-Ser". It matches the Rfam family "tRNA". From Rfam's summary of the family: Transfer RNA (tRNA) molecules are approximately 80 nucleotides in length. Their secondary structure includes four short double-helical elements and three loops (D, anti-codon, and T loops). Lineage: Archaea; Thermoproteati; Candidatus Bathyarchaeota. The record is from RNAcentral.